This is a non-coding RNA of Pelobates cultripes (western spadefoot toad), 665 nucleotides long. The record is from the annotation of a GenBank genome assembly. NCBI's taxonomy places the organism in Eukaryota, Metazoa, Chordata, Amphibia, Anura, Pelobatidae.
CAAAGCAUAACAACAAUCCAUGAAAGUAGUCAGGUAGCGGUGGCUGAGGUUCGAAGCCAGAAGAGUAGAGGGUAAAUAGGAGUGAUCCUGGAGUAGUCAGGAAUGAGAGCCAGAGUCAGGAGCUAACAAUGGAGGCCAAGGAUAAUCCACAGGAGUAGUCAGAGAUGCGAACAAUGUUCUAAAGUCAAUGAUGACAGAUAUAACCAGAUGGAUUCCGUUAAGCCCAUGGGAGCUGAGGCUAUAAAGUAAGGAGGUUACACAUGGCAAUACAAGUCAGGGGACUUAAUAAUUGAGCAAUUACACAAGGCUUUAGAUAGGAAAUAGUUGAUCAUAACAACCUAACACAAAUUAAGUAUUCAAUCAUGACAUCACUGAGCAAAGAAUAAGAGGUUACAUUAACCCAUACAUGGGGAAUUUCUGAUAUUUUAGGGCAUUUUGUUCCAGCUGAUAAAGCCAAGAUAGAACCCACCAUUGGUGUAUAUUCUUUGUCCCCUAGAAAGCCGCAUUACUGUCUAUUACUCCCUGCUUCCUUGGGCUUGGAUUCUGUCAUGUGUCAUACUAACACCUUGCUAGGUUCUGCGGCUGCUGAGAACUUUAUUGGCAUUUUCUUCUUUUCUAAGUUUUCUAUUCCCAUGCAAGAAAGGGAAAACCCAUGCCCAUUAACA